RNAcentral lists this long non-coding RNA (1185 nucleotides) under Sus scrofa (pig). RNAcentral's name for it is "lncRNA (ENSSSCG00055023048.1)". The record is from RNAcentral. Lineage: Eukaryota; Metazoa; Chordata; Mammalia; Artiodactyla; Suidae.
CUGCUGUCCUGCCUGUAGAGUGUUAGGCAAGCACCUACUUAGGCAGGAAGGGAGACAGCAACCAGGAGUGAAGACAUUGCUCUUUAAAGUGUAUGAUACCAGUCCUAGCUCCUAGAAAAUCAAAAUCAGGCCUUUGGAAGAAAUCACAUUCCGACACAGAUGGUCCUGCCUGACAAGCCCAGCCAGCCUUUGGAGCCUUUGGAGUGAGAGUUGAGACAAACCUAAAGUAAGGGGAAUUUGCACCAAGGUGAGUAAGUGCUUGUAUUUAAAGGCGAAAAGAGGUUUUAAACCUGAAUAUGCAUACUCAAUUCACUGGGCUCUCUUUGCCUUUCUUUUUUGCUUUUAUUAGAUUCAUUUUUGUAAAGUCUACAGAAAUUUUCUCUAAUGGUAACUUUUAAAAACACUGCACCUUGGAGUUCCCGUCAUGGCUCAGUGGCUAACAAAUCCGACUAGGAACCAUGGAGGUUGCAGGUUCGAUCCCUGGCCUUGCUCAGUGGUUUAAGGAUCCAGCGUUGCCGUGAGCUGUGGUGUAGAUUGCAGACGUGGCUCGGAUCCCACGUUGCUGUGGCUGUGGCGUAGGCCUGUGGUAACAGCUCCAAUUGGACCCCUAGCCUGGGAACCUUCAUAUGCCGCAGGUGUGGCCCUAUAAAAGGCAAAAAGACAAAAAAUAAAAAUAAAAACACUGCACCUUGCUCGUGAUAAUGGGGCUGUGAUUUUUUUUUCUCUAAACAGGAUCGCCCAUUUUGUAUUAUAUUCAUCCCUCCUGCCUCCAGACACGUCUCUCCUCUCUCCCCAGCUCCAGGACAGGCCCAGAGACAUCCGCUUCCAUGAGGAGCCAUCUUUGGAGCAAAAGAAUAGGAACUCCUGAAUAACCUCCACCACAGCUGUGUGCACAGAGCCCAGAACAGUAAAUUGUUCAACACUCAAGGCUCUUGGCUGUUUAACUUCUGUUAGGCAGCAGAGGCCAGGAAACAAGUGGAGAACCAGAAGAGGAAGGAAAGCCCCAGGAGUAGGCUUUACCAACUUCCUAGCAUACACGUUCAACCUUGGGAAUAUGGACAACUGAGUGUUGUAAUGAGGACCCACAGAGCCGAUGACUCUCUUAAGGUGAGAAACAUAAAUACAGACAAAUAUAAUAUGAGAACUUGCUCUGAGAACUCUCCUAUCAGUGAUUUUUUUUCUUUC